Molecule: ribosomal RNA, 562 nt
Filed under: Paecilomyces variotii
Lineage: Eukaryota; Fungi; Ascomycota; Eurotiomycetes; Eurotiales; Thermoascaceae
Description: eukaryotic LSU rRNA
Rfam family: 5.8S ribosomal RNA (bases 169-322)
Source: RNAcentral
UCGGGGCCACCUCCCAUCCGUGUUGUCCUGACACCUGUUGCUUCGGCGGGCCCGCCGUGGUUCACGCCCCGGCCGCCGGGGGGUUCACGCCCCCGGGCCCGCGCCCGCCGAAGACCCCUGGAACGCUGCCUGGAAGGUUGCCGUCUGAGUAUACAAUCAAUCAAUUAAAACUUUCAACAACGGAUCUCUUGGUUCCGGCAUCGAUGAAGAACGCAGCGAAAUGCGAUAAGUAAUGUGAAUUGCAGAAUUCCGUGAAUCAUCGAAUCUUUGAACGCACAUUGCGCCCCCUGGCAUUCCGGGGGGCAUGCCUGUCCGAGCGUCAUUGCUAACCCUCCAGCCCGGCUGGUGUGUUGGGCCGCCGUCCCCCCCUCCCGGGGGACGGGCCCGAAAGGCAGCGGCGGCGUCGCGUCCGGUCCUCGAGCGUAUGGGGCUUUGUCACACGCUUCAGUAGAACCGGCCGGCUUGCUGGCCACACGACCUUCACGGUCACCUAUAUUUCUCUUAGGUUGACCUCGGAUCAGGUAGGGAUACCCGCUGAACUUAAGCAUAUCAAUAAGCCGGA